GCCCCCAUCGUCUAGUGGCCCAGGACCCCGCCCUUUCACGGCGGUAGCACGGGUUCGAAUCCCGUUGGGGGUGCCG
Molecule: transfer RNA, 76 nt
Filed under: Nocardioides scoriae
Lineage: Bacteria; Bacillati; Actinomycetota; Actinomycetes; Propionibacteriales; Nocardioidaceae
Description: Marmoricola scoriae tRNA_Glu_TTC
Rfam family: tRNA
About the family: Transfer RNA (tRNA) molecules are approximately 80 nucleotides in length. Their secondary structure includes four short double-helical elements and three loops (D, anti-codon, and T loops). Further hydrogen bonds mediate the characteristic L-shaped molecular structure. tRNAs have two regions of fundamental functional importance: the anti-codon, which is responsible for specific mRNA codon recognition, and the 3' end, to which the tRNAs corresponding amino acid is attached (by aminoacyl-tRNA synthetases). tRNAs cope with the degeneracy of the genetic code in two manners: having more than one tRNA (with a specific anti-codon) for a particular amino acid; and 'wobble' base-pairing, i.e. permitting non-standard base-pairing at the 3rd anti-codon position.
Source: RNAcentral